Molecule: ribosomal RNA, 468 nt
Filed under: uncultured bacterium
Lineage: Bacteria
Description: partial 16S ribosomal RNA
Rfam family: Bacterial small subunit ribosomal RNA
Source: RNAcentral
GACGAACGCUGGCGGCGUGCUUAACACAUGCAAGUCGAACGGAAAGGCCCUGCUUUUGUGGGGUGCUCGAGUGGCGAACGGGUGAGUAACACGUGAGUAACCUGUCCUUGACUUUGGGAUAACUUCAGGAAACUGGGGCUAAUACCGGAUAGGAGCUCCUGCUGCAUGGUGGGGGUUGGAAAGUUUCGGCGGUUGGGGAUGGACUCGCGGCUUAUCAGCUUGUUGGUGGGGUAGUGGCUUACCAAGGCUUUGACGGGUAGCCGGCCUGAGAGGGUGACCGGCCACAUUGGGACUGAGAUACGGCCCAGACUCCUACGGGAGGCAGGAGUGGGGAAUAGUGCACUAUGGGCGGAAGCCUGAUGCAGCAACGCCGCGUGCGGGGUGACGGCCUUCGGGUUGUAAACCGCUUUCGCCUGUGACGAAGCGUGAGUGACGGUAAUGGGUAAAGAAGCACCGGCUAACUACGUG